RNAcentral lists this ribosomal RNA (1505 nucleotides) under uncultured bacterium. Its description in RNAcentral is "bacterial SSU rRNA". It matches the Rfam family "Bacterial small subunit ribosomal RNA". The record is from RNAcentral.
AGAGUUUGAUCCUGGCUCAGAACGAACGCUGGCGGCGUGCCUAACACAUGCAAGUCGAGCGAGAAAGCCCGCAAGGGUGAGUAAAGCGGCGAACGGGUGCGUAACACGUGGGUAAUCUGCCCUGGAGUCCGGAAUAACUCGCCGAAAGGCGUGCUAAUGCCGGAUGAGACCACGGGAGCUCCGGCUCCUGCGGGAAAAGGUGGCCUCUGUAUACAAGCUAUCACUCCAGGAUGAGCCCGCGGCCCAUCAGCUCGUUGGCGGGGUAACGGCCCACCAAGGCUACGACGGGUAGCUGGUCUGAGAGGACGAUCAGCCACACUGGAACUGAGACACGGUCCAGACUCCUACGGGAGGCAGCAGUGGGGAAUCUUGCGCAAUGGGCGAAAGCCUGACGCAGCAACGCCGCGUGGAGGAUGAAGGCCUUCGGGUCGUAAACUCCUGUCGAUGGGGACGAAGUCCUGAAAGGGAUUGACUGUACCCGUUGAGGAAGCCACGGCUAACUCCGUGCCAGCAGCCGCGGUAAUACGGAGGUGGCAAGCGUUGUUCGGAAUUACUGGGCGUAAAGGGCGCGUAGGCGGCCUGACAAGUCAGAUGUGAAAGCCCCGGGCUCAACCCGGGAAUUGCAUCUGAAACUGUUUGGCUUGAGUUCUGGAGGGGAUGGUGGAAUUCCCAGUGUAGCGGUGAAAUGCGUAGAUAUUGGGAGGAACACCUGCGGCGAAGGCGGCCAUCUGGACAGUGACUGACGCUGAGGCGCGAAAGCUAGGGGAGCGAACGGGAUUAGAUACCCCGGUAGUCCUAGCUGUAAACGAUGGGCACUUGGUGUUGGGGGUAUUGAGUCCCUCGGUGCCGGAGCUAACGCGAUAAGUGCCCCGCCUGGGGAGUACGGUCGCAAGACUGAAACUCAAAGGAAUUGACGGGGGCCCGCACAAGCGGUGGAGCAUGUGGUUCAAUUCGACGCAACGCGAAGAACCUUACCGAGGCUUGAACUGUAGCUGCUACACUUGGAAACAGGUGGUUCUCUUCGGAGACGGCUAUAGAGGUGCUGCAUGGCUGUCGUCAGCUCGUGUCGUGAGAUGUUGGGUUAAGUCCCGCAACGAGCGCAACCCUUACUCUUAGUUGCCAUCAGGUAAAGCUAGGCACCCUAAGAGAACUGUCGGCGAGAAGCCGGAGGAAGGUGGGGAUGACGUCAAGUCCUCAUGGCCCUUACGUCUCGGGCUACACACGUGCUACAAUGGCUGGUACAAAGGGUUGCCAACCCGCGAGGGGGAGCUAAUCCCAAAAAGCCGGUCUCAGUUCGGAUUGCAGUCUGCAACUCGACUGCAUGAAGUUGGAAUCGCUAGUAAUCGCAGAUCAGCAUGCUGCGGUGAAUACGUUCCCGGGCCUUGUACACACCGCCCGUCACAUCACGAAAGUGGGUUGUACUAGAAAUCGCCGGGCUAACCCGCAAGGGGGGCAGGCACUUAAGGUAUGAUCCAUGAUUGGGGUGAAGUCGUAACAAGGUAACC